AUUGAACGCUGGCGGCAGGCUUAACACAUGCAAGUCGAGCGGAGAUGAGGUGCUUGCACCUUAUCUUAGCGGCGGACGGGUGAGUAAUGCUUAGGAAUCUGCCUAUUAGUGGGGGACAACAUUCCGAAAGGAAUGCUAAUACCGCAUACGUCCUACGGGAGAAAGCAGGGGAUCUUCGGACCUUGCGCUAAUAGAUGAGCAUAAGUCGGAUUCGCUAGUUGGUGGGGUAAAGGCCUACCAAGGCGACGAUCUGUAGCGGGUCUGAGAGGAUGAUACGCCACACUGGGACUGGGACACGGCCCAGACUCCUACGGGAGGCAGCAGUGGGGAAUAUUGGACAAUGGGGGGAACCCUGAUCCAGCCAGGCCGCGUGUGUGAAGAAGGCCUUAUGGUUGUAAAGCACUUUAAGCGAGGAGGAGGCUACUGAGACUAAUACUCUUGGAUAGUGGACGUUACUCGCAGAAUAAGCACCGGCUAACUCUGUGCCAGCAGCCGCGGUAA
This 501-nucleotide ribosomal RNA is filed under the name uncultured bacterium. RNAcentral's name for it is "partial 16S ribosomal RNA". It matches the Rfam family "Bacterial small subunit ribosomal RNA", at positions 30 to 523 of the family's 1533-position model. The record is from RNAcentral.